RNAcentral lists this ribosomal RNA (517 nucleotides) under Rhipidolestes yakusimensis. RNAcentral describes it as "partial 16S rRNA". It matches the Rfam family "Bacterial large subunit ribosomal RNA", at positions 1831 to 2597 of the family's 2925-position model. The record is from RNAcentral. Lineage: Eukaryota; Metazoa; Arthropoda; Insecta; Odonata; Megapodagrionidae.
GUCUUCUCGUUUAUUUGGGAAGUCUGACCUGCCCAGUGAAAUAAUUAUUUAACGGCCGCGGUAUCUUGACCGUGCAAAGGUAGCAUAAUCAUUAGUCUUUUAAUAGAAGACUGGAAUGAAGGGUUUGACGAAAUAUUAACUGUCUCAUUUUGAUAUUUUAAAAUUUAAUUUUUGGGUUAAAAAGCUUAAAUUUUAUUGGAAGACGAGAAGACCCUAUAGAGCUUUAUAAUUAAAAUUAUAGUUGAAACUUGUUUAAUAAGGUAAAACUAUUAUGUUAAUUUUUUUGUUGGGGUGAUAGUAAAUAUAUAUUUAACUUUUAUAUAAUUAAAAUUGUUCAUUUAUUUAUGAUUAUUAGAUCCAUUAUUAUUGAUCAUUAGAACAAGUUACCUUAGGGAUAACAGCGUAAUCUUCUUUCAGAGUUCAAAUUUACAAGAAGGCUUGCGACCUCGAUGUUGGAUUAAGAUUAUAGUUAGGUGUAGCAGCCUAAUUAAUAGGUCUGUUCGACCUUUAAAUUCUU